RNAcentral lists this long non-coding RNA (1635 nucleotides) under Coccomyxa subellipsoidea. Its description in RNAcentral is "long non-coding RNA (CSUB_LNC000056)". Lineage: Eukaryota; Viridiplantae; Chlorophyta; Trebouxiophyceae; Coccomyxaceae. The record is from RNAcentral.
UUCAAAGUCACAGCUCUGCACCUUCUAACUUCAGACAUGUUGAUAGGACAUGGGCCUUAAGUGGUAAUGAUGUGCAGAACAACAUGAUCACGGGUGACAGAGUUUGAUUGGAUGUCAAAUUUAAGUCUCUCCACUGCAUGUACAUAUGGCGUUAGGACACGCUGUCAGAUAUGCGAAAGAGAUUCAUUAAUUUUAGAGACAAGAUCAGGAUUAGCAAAGUAACUCCACAAUGAGGUCACGGUGCUGGUGCCCACUGUCGCUGCGUGAGGCAAGCUUACUGUGUGUGUGUGUGAGAGAGAGAGAGAGAGAGAGAAAGAGAGAGAGAAACAUUACAUCGUGCCAGCCAACAAGGCUGAUUAGAUGUCCACUGUAUCUGCCCAUUAUUUAGAGGUUAUGUUUGAGGCUGCGAGUUAUGACUAUUGUGGGACAAGCUGACAAGGACUGCUGCUGAUUGCAGGUUUGAUGUCUGCGAUGGAAGCCAGGCGGCUGCAGCCUUCUUGCGGGAGCACGCCAAGCCUGCCAUGCCUAAGUGAGGAGUGGGUCCAAGUGAUGAGGAGGACCGCUUCUGAGAAUCUUUUGAGGAGAGUGUAAACGACAUUCAUUACUUUAUCUGUGAAGAUCAUGGUUCUGUCGAGAGAGUAAAGGUUGUGAAUUUGCACAUGUCCAGGUGCAUAACGGAUAAUUUCAACUCAUUGCUAUUGCGGCUGGUGCAGCUUGUUACAGCAAGCAUGUACGGACUCAUUUGGUAAUACGUAAUGUUGCAAAUUGAUUGCAAUUGCGCUUUGCAGGUUGCACCUGCAAUCAGUUGCUCAGUGCUCGCCCAGCACAGUAUGUAACGCUGAGCUGGCAUUCAUCUUCAAUAUAUAUGGCCCCAUCCUGGAAGCGAUUCACUUCCAGGAUGGGGCCACUGUCCUCUGCCCUGCUGUGAGUCUUACAUAGAUUUGCCGGAGUUCAAUCGGAUAAAUGAUCACCAUGCUUCAAAGAAGUUGCUCACCGUGCUCACUGGAGAGGACCGAUAUGGUCGCGUGGUUGCCAAAGAGGAAGCUCAAGAACCUGCACCCAGCAUAAGAAAUUGAUCUAAAAGACCUUGCUUUGCUACAACGUAAUAAGCAUCACUUGCAACGCUACUAUGGGAAAGCGCUUGAGCCAAGUGAAAGCAACAAUCCGUCGUCGCCAAAUAUUAACACCGAGUGGCCCAUGCCCGAUCUCAAUUUCCUUUCAUACUGUAAUUUAAAAUUUCUGGCACGUCAAUAUGUGAAGGUAACUCACUUCGCACUUCACGUAUGUCUAUAAUUAAAUGACACUGGGAGCUAUGAGCAGCACCUCUCUAGGGCUUCCCGAAGCGUUGAAACCUAUGUGACUACGAGGCCAAAAGGAGUUCAAUAUGAGGCAAUAUCAAUUAUACUGUGAUGUACUAUAGUGAGAAAAGCCUGAAUCGCUGACAUUGUGGCCCGAAGCAGAGCCAACCACAACCCCGGUACUGGAGGUAGAUGAACCAGAUAAUCUAUAGCGCAGUCUGCGCCUGAGGCAUUUAUAAGCUAAACGAUCUACAGCAUCAGAACUCGAUCCGGGAGCCGUUUGACUGCAAGUGGAAAGCAUACGUGAAGAAAUAAGUGUGUCGCGAUUGUGAGGCCG